RNAcentral lists this long non-coding RNA (236 nucleotides) under Medicago truncatula (barrel medic). Its description in RNAcentral is "lncRNA gene28902". Lineage: Eukaryota; Viridiplantae; Streptophyta; Magnoliopsida; Fabales; Fabaceae. The record is from RNAcentral.
GUCCCUUCCUCUCUUUGAUUCAAUUGUUGUCCACAAGUAUUUUAUCAAUCAAAUGAGACAAAUUAUAUUUGUCCAAUGACAAGAAAGAAAUGAAAAAACGACAAGAACGUUUUCCUUAUGACAAACAUAUAAGAUAAAAAAACUCCAUUAGCUUGAUAAUGUAAAUGUUGUUGUGGUCCAACAGACAUCUCACUGCAUCCCAUUCCGUGACACUUAUGUAUACGAAUGAAUUUGGU